Molecule: ribosomal RNA, 667 nt
Filed under: uncultured bacterium
Lineage: Bacteria
Description: bacterial SSU rRNA
Rfam family: Bacterial small subunit ribosomal RNA
Source: RNAcentral
GAGUUUGAUCCUGGCUCAGGAUGAACGCUGGCGGCGUGCUUAACACAUGCAAGUCGAACGAAGCGGCUGCAGGGAUUCCCUUCGGGGAGGAACAGUAGCUGUCUGAGUGGCGGACGGGUGAGUAACGCGUGGGCAACCUGCCCCAUACCGGGGGAUAACAGCCGGAAACGGCUGCUAAUACCGCAUACGCCCAGGAGGCUGCAUAGCUUCCUGGGGAAAACUCCGGUGGUAUGGGAUGGGCCCGCGUCUGAUUAGCUCGUUGGCGGGGUAACGGCCCACCAAGGCGACGAUCAGUAGCCGGCCUGAGAGGGCGGCCGGCCACAUUGGGACUGAAACACGGCCCAGACUCCUGCGGGAGGCAGCAGUGGGGAAUAUUGCACAAUGGGGGAAACCCUGAUGCAGCGACGCCGCGUGAGCGAUGAAGUAUCUCGGUAUGUAAAGCUCUAUCAGCAGGGAAGAAAGUGACAGUACCUGACUAAGAAGCCCCGGCUAACUACGUGCCAGCAGCCGCGGUAAUACGUAGGGGGCAAGCGUUAUCCGGAUUCACUGGGCGUAAAGGGAGCGCAGGCGGCACGGCAAGUCUGGUGUGAAAACCCGGGGCUCAACCCCGGGACUGCAUUGGAAACUGCCGGGCUGGAGUGUCGGAGGGGUAAGCGGAAUUCCUAGU